This 203-nucleotide long non-coding RNA is filed under the name Glycine max (soybean). Its description in RNAcentral is "long non-coding RNA (GMAX_LNC003734)". Lineage: Eukaryota; Viridiplantae; Streptophyta; Magnoliopsida; Fabales; Fabaceae. The record is from RNAcentral.
CCAAGUUCCCAACCAUUAAAUAUAUGUGAAGUAAUUAUGACCCCUUGGUCCCAAUUCCACACACUCCACAAAUAACUUGACAAAAUACUAGUUUUGUAUGGUAACUUUCACUGUUGUUUUCUUACUCAGACAAUUCUACUACAGGGAUCCCACAGUUUUGUGUUUGUUGAUUUGUUUUAAAAUUUUGACAACCUAUAAGGCCA